GACUCAUGCAGAAAGACAGAUGGUUGAAGCAGUUUCAGUUCUUCUCAUCAAGUAAUGAAGAGAGAUCUUAAAUCUUUUCCAGGAAAGGGUCAAGAAAUAGCGCCCAAAGCAAAAAAAAAAAAAAAAAACAAUAUUAAUAUCCUAUCAAAGUCUAAAAUAAAAUCUAGUCCAGACAUAAAACACAAAAACUUCCUGCUGCAGGAGACAUGAAACCAGGUUUGAAAAACCUGCACGACAACCUGAAUCAACCCAAAAGGUAAAAACACCUCCAAAAUCUUCAAGCAUCAGAUCCACCUGUAGGAGAAGUUCCCUGUUGCUUGAACUCUGCAUCAACUUUCUUCAAGAACUGAUCCCAACCACUCCCUGGACUAGUAUCCAAAUAAUCCUGUGGAACUGCUGUUUUCAGCCCUGGCCGAAUUCCACAUUGGCUCUCCACAAUUCUGAAGUCCACACUGUUCCCUUCUCUCGCAUUCUGCCCUAAUUCCUCCCAAGUAAAAAGCAAUGGAAGUGUAAAUGCACCCCAAGGAUUAAAAUCCACAAUUUUAACACGCUCAUCCCUGGUGACAUAAAUAUCAAAUGUGUAAUUCUCUGACUCAAAAUUCAGCCUCACAUUAUCCAUAAAAAAAUUCUCAAUCAGCAGUUGAAGAUCACUUUUCUUCUCAAGGAGAACAGGAUAAAAUGUAGUGACUUCACGCUGUGAGAUGCCAACGAGGUGAUGACCCCAAACAAAGCAACGGAAUUCCAUCUCAGGCAACAAAGAUGAAUACCACUUGCGGAGUGCAAGGAAGAAACUUGGGGGUCUUGACAUGGUUUUGUUGCUGCAUGAAUCAUAGGCAUGGCACAAAUCAUGGACCAACGAAUCAGAUGACCGAAGCAAUAAUGCAAUCUCACUGAAUGAAGUGCAACAGAGGGUUCCAGAUGUGCUAAUCCAAGCUGAGUCUUUUGGGGAACUCCAGUUCAGCUUAGGAAAAACUGCACCUCCAAGGAUUUCAAUUGAUUCCUUAAUCUUCAAUUCAAGUUCUGGGAAAGAUGGGGGUGAUACAGGUUGCUCUGCUUCAUCUCCUGACCCUUCUGACACUUGAUAAUCCUCUUCAUCUAUAGGAUUAUGAAUUCUAUUGGGUAAAGCAUCUUCAUUAGAGACAGAAAUGGGUAGUAUAAAGGGCCCUACAUCAUCAAGAAGGUACUCAACAAAAGAUUCUGGAAGCUCAUGAAUUAUAGUUCUGAUAGAUACAGACUUGAAUUUUGGGUACCAUUCCUGAAUCUGGCACCAGUUCACUUCUUCUGUCCUCAUCGUCAAGAUAAUAAACAACCUUGUAUUUAUGUAACUACUGCUUUAUUGACCUCCUCACUCAGUUUAAUAGUAUUCGAAUUGGGGAAAUGUUUGAAUCUCCCUCGAAUGGACUUCCUCCAAUCGGGUAAUUCUUGGGUCAGUGAAGAUACUGAAACUCUGAAAGAGAACGACUUGGAAAGAAGGAAGCGAGGAAGAGGUGUAAGUAGCUAUUACGACUCCUGCAGUUCAAUCUAAACAGAUAACAACUGUAACGGCUUGAAAGUAGUGGCUGGUGAAUGGAAACGUCGGGAAUAGAGAGGGAGAACGCCAAAGGUGACCGACAAUGAUGGUGGCGGCCUCAAAGCAAUCAGUUUCCGGUGGAUGAAGGGCAGAAAUUUUGUAAGAGAAAAGAAACCGAAACUGCGAUGCGAUGGCGCCUCUCGCCUCGACCGACAGUGGGAUUAAAACGACGUAGUUUAGAACUAAAGGGUUUUUCUCAUGUAAACGACGUAGUUUAUUUCUUUACUUAACUCGGGCUCGGAGUCAUGUGCCUGAGUUUGCACCCCAAGUAGCUAGCUACUGAGAUGAACAUUGGGAGAACCAAUCUCCACGCGGCGAAUUAACUCGAAUCGCUCAUCAUCUCCGACGAGAAAAGGAAAUAUGUUUCUCAAAGUACAGUUGCCUUGGAAUGUUAUAAUCCCUGCUGAGAACUUGGAUGCUAAAGGACUGAUGCUCCAAAGGUCAAUUGUUGUCCGCUUGUUAGAAGAUUUUGCUAGUAAAAAAGCUACCAAAGAUUUGGGUUAUUACCUUGCUGUCACCACUUUGGAGAACAUAGGGGAGGGAAAAGUGAGGCAGCACACUGGGGAUGUGCUAUUUCCAGUUGUAUUCAGUGGCAUCACUUUCAAGAUUUUCAGGGGUGAGAUUCUGGAAGGGGUUGUUCACAAAGUGCUCAAGCAUGGUGUUUUCAUGAGAUGUGGGCCAAUUGAGCAUAUAUAUCUCUCUUAUAUGAAAAUGCCAGAUUACCGUUAUGUGCCUGGAGAGAAUCCAGUCUUUCUGAACGACAAGAUGUCAAAGAUUGAAAAGGAUGCAGUGGUGAGAUUCAUCGUUAUUGGAACAAAGUGGUUAGAGGCGGAAAGGGAGUUUCAGGCAUUGGUCAGCUUGGAGGGUGAUUAUCUUGGACCAGUGUCCUAGAUGCCUGCCUUCUAUUUUGCUGGAUAUGCAUGUAAAUCUUUUUAAUAUGUUGGAUUAAACUUAGCCUACCGGAAGCAUGAUAGUUUCUUUUGGAGCAAUAGAUAUUCCUGGAGGCCUUAGCUCCUAGUCAUCGCAUCUCUCGCUAUCUUGAGUUAUUGCAACUGUAGUGAUCUAAGUUUGGCUAAUGCUGGUGGGUGCUAGUGUCAUGAUAGCUAUAUUAUGUUAACUGUAUUAGUUGAUUAAAAUGUGUAACAUGCUAAUUCCAGCAUAAAGGGUGACCCAGUGCAUGAAAUAUCCCAUAAUUGUGGGCUUUGUGAAGGGUUGACUUGUACAGCCUUAUCCCUAUUUUGCAAAGAAACUGUUUUCAUGUGUUAGUUCUCAAAGGAUUCUUUCAUGACUACGCUUGAUGCAAACUUGAAAAAUACUAGAACUACUUUUUUGAUUCAAAUGAAC
RNAcentral lists this unclassified non-coding RNA (2914 nucleotides) under Hevea brasiliensis (rubber tree). The record is from RNAcentral. Lineage: Eukaryota; Viridiplantae; Streptophyta; Magnoliopsida; Malpighiales; Euphorbiaceae.